AUUGAACGCUGGCGGCAGGCCUAACACAUGCAAGUCGAACGAGUGGCGGACGGGUGAGUAAUGUCUGGGAAACUGCCUGAUGGUGGGGGAUAACUACUGGAACCGGUAGCUAAUACCGCAUACCAUCAGAUGUGCCCAUAUGGGAUUGGCGAGUUGGUGGGGUAACGGCUCACCACGGCGACGAUCCCUAGCUGGUCUGAGAGGAUGACCAGACACACUGGAAAUGAGACACGGUCCAGACUCCUACGGGAGGCAGCAGUGGGGAAUAUUGCACAAUGGGCGCAAGGCUGAUGCAGCCAUGCCGCGUGUAUGAAGAAGGCCGUCGGGUUGUAAAGUACGUUAAGCGGGGAGGCGUUACCCGCAGAAGAAGCACCGGCUAACUCCGUGCCAGCAGCCGCGGUAAUUC
This 406-nucleotide ribosomal RNA is filed under the name uncultured bacterium. Its description in RNAcentral is "partial 16S ribosomal RNA". It matches the Rfam family "Bacterial small subunit ribosomal RNA", at positions 30 to 526 of the family's 1533-position model. The record is from RNAcentral.